UGCCUUAGUAACGGCGAGUGAAGCGGCAACAGCUCAAAUUUGAAAGCUGGCCCUUUUAGGGUCCGCAUUGUAAUUUGUAGAGGAUGAUUCGGCGAGGGCUCCUGCCUAAGUCCCCUGGAACGGGGCGUCAUAGAGGGUGAGAAUCCCGUAUGCGGUAGGUUGCCUUAGCCAUGUGAAUCUCCUUCGACGAGUCGAGUUGUUUGGGAAUGCAGCUCUAAAUGGGAGGUAAAUUUCUUCUAAAGCUAAAUACCGGCCAGAGACCGAUAGCGCACAAGUAGAGUGAUCGAAAGAUGAAAAGCACUUUGGAAAGAGAGUUAAAAAGUACGUGAAAUUGUUGAAAGGGAAGCGCUUGCAACCAGACUUGUCCGCAGUUGCUCAGCCGGUCUCCUGACCGGCGUACUCUUCUGCGGCCAGGCCAGCAUCAGUUCGGGCGGUCGGAUAAAGGCCUCGGGAAUGUGGCUCCUCUCGGGGAGUGUUAUAGCCCGGGGUGCAAUGCGGCCAGCCUGGACUGAGGAACUCGCUUCGGCAAGGAUGCUGGCGUAAUGGUUGUAAGCGGCCCGUCUUGAAACACGGACCAAGGAGUCUAACAUCUAUGCGAGUGUUCGGGUGUCAAACCCGUACGCGUAAUGAAAGUGAACGGAGGUGGGAACCCGCAAGGGUGCACCAUCGGCCGAUCCUGAUGUCUUCGGAUGGAUUUGAGCAAGAGCAUAGCUGUUGGGACCCGAAAGAUGGUGAACUAUGCCUGAAUAGGGUGAAGCCAGAGGAAACUCUGGUGGAGGCUCGCAGCGGUUCUGACGUGCAAAUCGAUCGUCAAAUUUGGGUAUAGGGGCGAAAGACUAAUCGAACCAUCUAG
This 853-nucleotide ribosomal RNA is filed under the name Lasiodiplodia theobromae. RNAcentral's name for it is "eukaryotic LSU rRNA". It matches the Rfam family "Eukaryotic large subunit ribosomal RNA", at positions 76 to 947 of the family's 3401-position model. The record is from RNAcentral. Lineage: Eukaryota; Fungi; Ascomycota; Dothideomycetes; Botryosphaeriales; Botryosphaeriaceae.